Molecule: long non-coding RNA, 5561 nt
Organism: Taeniopygia guttata (zebra finch)
Lineage: Eukaryota; Metazoa; Chordata; Aves; Passeriformes; Estrildidae
Source: Ensembl
GGGCGCGGUUGGGUCGCCAUGGCGAGCAAUGCCGCCAGCCUGAACGCCGUGAGGGAGACCAUGGACGUUCUGUUUGAGAUUUCAAGAAUAUUAAACACUGGCUUGGAUAUGGAGACAUUGUCUAUUUGUGUGCGGCUUUGUGAACAAGGAAUAAAUCCAGAAGCUUUAUCUUCUGUUAUUAAAGAACUGCGGAAGGCUACAGAAGCUCUAAAGGCUGCUGAAAAUAUGACAGGCUGACAUGGGAGAAGAUCUCUGCAUGAGCAGAAUGCGAAGUUAAACUUAUCAGGAGCUCUGAAGAUUGCCGCUAUUAAGAACAAAAAAUGAAAUAAGUGUAUGUGAAGGUUUCAGAGUACUUCCGUUAUACUUUUCAAAAGAAUGGUGUAUAUAAGAGCUUUGAAAAGUUUUUUAAAAGUCCACCAGUAAUAUUAUUGGUAUUUUUGUGAACUGUUUGUGAAUGAGUGCAGUUGUUUUUCUCUGGCAUCCUGUACAUUUAAAAUCACACCAGGUAUUGUACAUUGUUGAAUUUACUAGUGUGUACCAAAAAAUUGUUUUAGAAUGAGUGUAGUUUUGUUAAUGCAUCCUUUAGAAGAGGUAGUAUGCCACGGGUUUUACCUUUUGCUUUGAUGAAAAGCUACAUGUGCAAUUUUAGUCUUGCUUUAUUGUCCAGAUGGGAAUGAAGCCCAUAGUGACUUUAUUUUAGAGCACAAGCAGUAACUUAAGUCUCAAGCUGAAAGUAAUAAAUAAAGCAAUUUUUUUACUAAUGUAGGUCAUGAAUUGUGCUUUUGAUUUCAAUUGAAAUUGCUGGGAAAAAUGUUUAACUUAGAUAACCAAAGUUCUUCAGCUGUCCAUGUAGAUUUGUAUAUAAAUUUAAAUUCUAGAUGAAAUGGAAUGUUUCACAGUGAGCAGAUGCUACAUUUGUUACAUAUGUUCUGACUGUAGGCUCUAAAAAUAUUAACGCUAUAUUGUUACUGUAAUACAAUAGUCAGUGCAUACAUGAGAAGCAUCUGAUUUGGUUGAUGAGUAUCAGUAAGUCUUAAACAGCUGCUUGGUACAGGAAUGUCUUCUCAUUUAGCACUGGAAACCUUCACUGAUGCCCAAAGAGGUAUUAAUGUCCAGUAAGUAUCUCUGCACCCAGGAAUUGUACUUUGUAAGAAGAUAGUUUCUUGUGUAUUCUUCAUCUGCUGCUGUGUAAGUUUUUGGGGAGUUUUCAAAGGCUUUUGGGUUUUGUUUUUUUUUUUUUGUUAUGCUGUUUUCAAAGUGUAGCACUAAUGGGACCUAAAGUAACCUGCAGAGUUAACAGGGCAAAGCACAUUUGGAAAUGAACCUGGAAUCUCAGUUAAGCCAAAAGUUAUAUUUGUGCAGAGAUAAAAAGUUAGUUUUACUUGAAGAGUUUACAUCAUAAACACUCUGGAUCAUAGCUCUGCAAAAAACAAUAAAGGAAACAAAAUACUUCAUAUUGCUGACAAAGAGAAUAGAAAAAUAUUUAUAUUGCACUGAAUCACUUGCCUUUAUUUCCAGUUAGCCUGGCCAAAGCAUUCCAGGAAGAUGCUGUAAAUAACCAAACUGGGGAAUUUUUAAGUGGUUUCAUUUUGCACACUCACAGCAGCAAUUUACAAAGCACUUUAAAUGUUCAUAGCCUGGAUAUUGACUGUAUGAAAAGAUAUCAACAAUUAAAUUUAUCUUUGGAAAUCUGGAAAUUCAGUAAAAUACCCUGAAAAGUCCAGGUCAGAUCAGCACAAAUGAGCAGUUAGCUCUCUUACUUAAUUUUCUCUAGACUCAGUGCUACAUGUCAAAAAUGAGAAAAGACUUGGGGAGCAUUCUUGCUGGUCUCAGGAGUCAAUCUCAGUCUAUGAGAUUUCCCUUGUGUAACUUGAACUCUGAAAAUUUUCUGUGAACUAUAGCGAAUGUACCCAAAAUAAUAAUGAAACUCAAUUAGAAUAUAUGUUUCUGCUGCUGUGUUUCCUUUUCCUCUGUAGCCAAAUCUUUGGGUAAUACAGGAAGUCGGAUGACUUCCCUUGAAUGUCACUCUUUUGAUUAGUUUUAUGUAUUUCCAGGUUUUUUACUAACUUGGUAGCUUGAUUUUGGUUUGGGUUCAGUGUCCUUGAAGUGCUUAAAACUACCUUGCAACUGCAAUGAUAAUUUAUACAUAAUUUAUAAAAUUAUAUCUAAUUCUUGAACUGUCCAGUAAAGUGCAUUUACCAUUUUACCGUUGGUAAGCUUACAGCUUUUAUGCAUUUAGGCAUUUUCUGGCAGACCAUUUGUCCUGCAGAAUUACAGAAGAAGGGCAUGUCUUUGACAUUCAAAACCCCAAUUUGAUGUCUAUAAAAUUAAAAGUGCAGUAUUUUCAUUAUUAAGUGUAGCUAAAUUGUAACAUUGGUUACUUAAUGUAGUAAAGGGAGAACAUGUUGCUUCUUAAGGUGGUGUAAGAGAACUACUGACUGCUUUUGGUUCAGGGUACCAUCCAUAACAAAUGCAUUAAGUAUUUUUUUCUUCUUCCUGGUGAGAAAUAAAAAAAAAAUAUCUCUCAUAGGAAGCUUCGUACUGGAAAUACUGGGAGUGCAGGGUAAGUCUAUCACUUUAAUAGCAUCCCCACUAUGUGAACAUGAGUGCUGAGGCUUGGCAGUGAUGACUGAGAAGUCUUGGCUGCAUUUGUAACACACAUCACCUUUUACUGCAUUUAACCAAGAAGCGGAGCAAGCAGUACGUGCUUUUCCUCUGUGAUCCUUAAUUACAUGCUCUUGGAAUUCUAGAGAAGAUAAACAUAGGACUGGCUAUACAGGUCCUGACAAAAGUUGUUUCUUCUAACACAAUAGCUUCUUUUGGUAGUCAAAGGCAGCUGCCUUAGGAAGGAUUAGAACAAUGCAAGCAUGUUUGGUUGCUUCUCUUCUGUGUUCUUCUGGCUUCUGAAUGUCUUCUAUUCCAGGCUUUCCUGAACAUUGUAUAGUUUGUCUAUUUAGUAAUUUUCAAUGCUAUUUUUUCCAGUAGUUGUCUAGUUUCCUUUGGACUAUAUAUGCUUCCUGAGUAACAGCAGCCUUUCUCAAUUAAUGUCUGUUGCAUAAAAAAUUGCCACUUCUUGUUCAUUUUGAGCCUAUUUUUCACUAGUUUAAUGUCCUUUGAACUGUAAACCUUUAUCUAUCAUGCCAUGUUUCUGCAGAUACCUAAGUCACCUUUAAAUUUCAUCAUCUAAACUGAAAUGCUUUAGUAUUUGAGUGACCAAACAUGUGGAGUAGCUUCUGUAUUUACUGUCCUUUGAAACUUUUCUGCCUGUCAUAUAUUAUUUUCUGAAAAGGGAACCAACACUACACACUUCAGCCAUGCAGCUAAGUACUAGUCUGCUUGAUUACUUUCUUUUCUUUAUUCCUUCCUAAUAUUUGACUUGCUUUUUAAGUUGAUCUGAAUGUUGAGCUGUUUUCAUGGCAUUAUCUAUGGUUCCUACUACUCUUUAGUAGACUGAGAAGCUCAGAGGUUAUUUUUUCAUGUGGAAACUAUGAUUAUUUAUAUCUACGUGUAUAAUUUAUUUGUUUGUGCUGAAUUGCAUCUGCCACUUUUUCCUAAUCAAUCUUCCAUGUGUUUCUCCAGUUCAUCGCAGUUUGCUAGUAAUCUUGCUACCAUCACUAAUUUUAUCGUUGGGAAAUUUUGUUGCUUUAUUCCUUUUUUGAGGUUAAUUAUAAGUAAGUCAUGCAGCACACAAUGUAUCAAACACUGCAGAGGACAACUGGUGACCUGGGGCAGGAGCUGACCAUUUAUUUUCAUUCAUUUUCAGUGAUUGUGAAUAAAAUGCAUCAUCCUUACACCACAUGUCUUCAGUGUCACAUACAACAACUCUCACUGUGAGAGUUUAAGCACAGUUACGAAUCUAGUCCUGCAGAGAGCAUGGCAUGCUUGAUAAUUAUCAGGAUCCCCAAUGUUCUUUCCCACCUGCUGCUCUCUAGGUGAGAAAAUAACUGGUUCAAUCCUAGAUUUGCUUUUGGAUUCAAUCAACUAGUUCCUUCUGAGUUUAACUUGUGCACUGUUGCAGGCAUACUUCAUUCCAGAGACUGCUCCCAGCAGGCUGCUUACCAGAGCCUUCUCUUCUUCCCCAGCACUUUCCACCUUCAAACAUCCCAUCUGUUUUUACAUGCUCAUAGUUCCAUGCUAUAGAAACACUGCAGUCUUUAUUAUUUUAAUAAACUGUAAAUUAAAAGGCACAAAAAAUGACAAUGACUUAAGACUCAGCAGUGAUCUGUGAUACAGUAUGGCUGUAGACAACCUGCUUUAAAGAGAUCUAAUGCUGAACAGAGGGGCUUUACAUUACUAUGUGUGAUGGGACUCUGGCAGCUUACUUUACUUUGAAGAGUCUACUCUGAAUCACAAAUAUUACUGUUUAAUUAAAGUUUGAAAAUGUGGUUUCAAAGAAUGAAGGGUAUAUCAAAGUAAUUUCAACUUUUAAAAGUGAGGGCAAAGAGAGAGCUGCAGACCAGUCACCUCACAUAACAGCAAACAUCCAGCUGGUAAAUUUGGGAUUGUAUCAGCAAAGAAUGAAAGAUAAAGUCAAAGUAAAAAGAGACAGAAUGAGAGGAAAUGGCUAUUACAGAAUGUAUUUUUACAAAAAAUAGCUUCAUCGAGUAGAAAUAGUGAAGUAAAACCAUAGUGCUGUCUAUUUGCUGCUUCCAGACCCACUGUUUAUACUUCAAGAAAGCACGAGGAUAAUUUAAAUGAAGCCAUAAAACUCUUUAGGGAUGGGAGAGCAGGCCUGAAAGAGGUCUCAAAGCCCUCGGGGGGUGUGCAGGUUCUCAAAGAGAAGUUGAGAAGAGACAUAAUGACCCUAGUUAUGCUCUUGAACAUAAGUCUUGUGGGUCAUCUUUUUAACCUUACAGAGAAAACCAGGUUCAGUAGGUGUUACUGGAGAAAUCAAACAUUAAAAGUAAGGCACAGCUUCCUAGGAGUGAAAGUAAGUAAACUUUGACAUGGUAUAUUAGGGAAAUGACAACUGGCUACUGCUUGAUAUUGUUAAAAUGAAAUUAAUUCCAAAAGACGUGCUUUAAUCCAGCUUCUGGGGCAAAGUCUACGAUACCUCUCUGUGGGAUGUCAGAGAGGCUGGCUGUAGCAGUUCCUUUGGACUGCAGAGUCUGUGAAGGGCAGUGUAAAACAGCUCUAAGUAAUGUGAAGAAAAUUAGGAAUUAUUUAGGAUGGCUAUCAGUGAUGUUUCUGUCAGUAAGACAAAUGGAAGCCUGAUUUCCAAGAUAUUUGAAUGUUGCCUGAUCAAAAAAACCCAAACAUCACAACCGUUAAUUAUCUGCGCUGGAAAUCUGGAAUAUAUUGAGUCUAGGCACUUUUAUUAUCACUUUAUAAAUAUUCUUAUUUUUUCACCUCCAAUUUUCACAUGUACAAAGAGACUGGCUCAUGAAAAUGGAUCUCUGAAAGAGCUCAGUGCUGUCAUUAUGUAGGUGAGUGGGAGUUUAAUGUUCAAAUUUAACUUUCAGUGAAGGAGAUGGAAAAUUAAGGAGUGAAGAUGAUACCCGGCUGUACUGUGGUUACCCAGGGAAGCAGCCAGGAGCAACCCUUAGUAGGGAAGGAGGCCU